GGGCUGGGCUAUUUUUUUUUUUUUUUUUUAUAUAGGCCUACAAAUUCAAUUUUUAUGGCAAAUUCACAGUACAGUAGAUAAAAAAAAAAUAGAUAAACGCAUUUUUAAAAAUGAAAUACGUUGUUUAUCUAAAGUCAUUUCUGCUUAUUAGCACGGUUGAAUUGGAUCAUCAAAGGUCCAUUGCAAAGACACAGCUUAAUAAAAUGAGAUAGCCUGUACAUAAAGGAUAUUUGUUUUAUUUAACACCUAUCGCAGGUUUGUGUCAUAGUCUGAGUUUGCAUUUCACUGCUUUUAUUAAUUUUGAGGAAUACUGAAUCUGUUUUUGUGCAAGUGAGAAAAGUAAAUGUCUAGAAUACAGUAACUUACUCCUGACUUCUCUCAACCUGGCAACACCAGAGCUGUCAGUCAACAGCCUAAAUGGGAAAACAAAGAGUAACUGGCAUACUUAUUUGAAAAAGUAACUGAUAUUUUCUUUUAAAUUAAAAUGUAAUAUGUUACUUGAGUCACUUGUCAAAAGUAAUUUGAUUACCUAACUUGUGUUACUUGCAUUACCCCCAACUGUAUUGCACUGAUGAAAUUAUUUUUAUUACAAAAGCAAAUAGAUUUCAAUGCACACUGAAGUUUGAGCAUGUUUGUCAGACGUCCACCAUAGACAAUGAAAGAACAACUGAUUCAACCAUUUUUAUUCUUUACAAAAUAAAUUAUUCAUAAAUUUAUUUAUUUAUCAGUAGGCCUAUACUGUACAUCAUGCAACCACUUCUACAAGAGCAGUUGUCUUAUAUAUAUAGAAAAUAAUAGUAAAACCCAGAUUUACAGCCAGGCAAACUCUUAAUUUCAGCAAUUUUCCAACCACUUGACUGUUUUAAAUGCUGCAUACAGAAAUGUAAUGAACAGUUGUCAUCCAGAAUUUCCACUCCUUGGAUUGUAUGCAGUUUAUUUCAUUUCAAACCUAAAAUGAAAACAAUACAGAUGUCAGAUCAGAGGGCCCCUCAUGGUUGGGUUUUUAUGCAAGUGUAAAGUGUGCAUUUAUGCAAGGGAAACAUAUUGAAAUGUUUCCUAUUCGUUCAUUUGCUUCCAAACCUGUUUUGAGUUUCUCCACGCUGAUAAACACACUGCCACAGUGCAUUAUUACUCACGGUACGAGUUUGAGUCUGGCCUAGCGCGUACCAAAAGUAAUAAUGGACUGUGAAGCAGAUAAAAAGGGCUCCUUUCUUCUCAUCAAGGCACGAUUUUGUAAAAUUAAACGGAGUAUCUGGUUUUAAAACAUGCAGAAUGUGAACAUAUUUGUGAUUUGCUACUAUUUUGCAUACUUUACCUUCUGCAGACUUAAGAAGUCUUCACUUUUCUUCAUAAGUGGCCCUCAGAGGUGCCCCAUUAAUCAUGAGAGGUUAAAUCCAUCCAUUGCUGCAGUGAUGGAGUAGAAAAACAUGAUGUAAUACUUCAAACAAUGCAGUAUUGUUAGACUAAUUAACAGAGACUUCUCUCUCAGAAAUGACAUCGAAAAGUUCCAGUCUAAUAAAGGUCACAAAACGAUUUUAAACGUGCAGCACACAAACCAUUCUAUACGAAGAUAAACACAAUCAGGAAACAAAUCAUUAAACAGUUCAACGCCCUGCUUAAUACUACAAUUUGCCAAUAGAGGGCGCAGUUUUAUAUAGCGUGGUCAGCUGACGUAGUGGGAUUAAAAAUGACAAAAAACUGUUUCUAAAAGGUUAAAUUUUUUAAAAUAAAUAAAACAACAAAAUGCUCUAUAAUUAUUGUAUAAUAUAUAAAAAAAAGAAGUAUCAUGUGAUCAUGUGAUUUCAUUCGAUCAAUCAUGUGAUCUAAUGAAAAAGGGAAAGUCUCACAUAAUGAUAGCAUUAUACUGCCAACAAGACAUCUAGAUUAUGCAUUAGGACAACUUUGGGAGUAAAGC
Cyprinus carpio carpio is the source of this 1915-nucleotide long non-coding RNA. The record is from Ensembl. NCBI's taxonomy places the organism in Eukaryota, Metazoa, Chordata, Actinopteri, Cypriniformes, Cyprinidae.